UGGACGGAUUUUCACAUAGCAAACAUCCGACUGCUGCCCGUGCUCCUGCAGAAACUAAGGUGGUGACAGCUGCCCUCCAGAGAAAUGGUAGCAUACUUCUACAAAAAUUGUAUUUAUAAUUCUGAAAGCUUUUCUCUUUCCUCAGGACUGACUCGGAAGUUAAAUUGAACCUGUGGUUGCAUAGAGUCCCCUGCACUUGACACAAGCCACUUAUUCGGCCUGAGAUACUGCUGCACUGGAUGACCUGUUUUGUUUUGCCUGCCACCAGCAUGGAAGGAGAGCUGUUAGUCUGUUAGCAGAUUGUCUGGGUUUUGCUGGGCACAGACAGCAUGGGCCUGGGCACAACAGAUGCUGGGCAUGAGAGCAGGAAUGGGACCAAGGCUGGGUAAAAAUGUGAAGGCAGGAUGGGAACUGGGCUUGUGUGAAACGGUUUGUUGUGGGUAGAUGAUCCAGCAUAAGAAUUACUUCAAACAAACAGAAGUGUACCGAAGCAGCCAUGCCUUUUGCACUGGGAGCUCUCACGUCCUCUGUAAGCAGGGAGGGGCAGCUCGUGUCUGGGCCUACAGGCAGGUUCUGGAAGAAGAGGCUCAGAAGAAGCAAGCAGAGGUGCAGGGGUGGAGAAGGAGCCAGGUUUGUUUCCCAUAGUUUGGCAGUGACAAGAAGGCCAAAGGGUUUACGCUGCUGCAGAGUGAGCAUGAGCAAAAAGCACAGAGGAAUUCCACGUGCACUGGUGGGGAUGUAUUACCCAACUCUAACCCCUGCCAUGGGCAGGGCUGCACCCAUCAGCUCAGGCUGCCCCAGGCCCCAUCCAACCUGGCCUUGAGCACCUCCAGGGAUGGGGCACCACAGCUUCUCAGGGCAGCCUGCGCCCCUCUGAGUGAAAAAUUUCACCCAACAUCUAAAUUAUGUCUAUAUGCAUAUGUGUGUCAGUGGCGUGUAGGGAAGAUGUCACCGUUGUACACACUAUAGAAUAGCAAUUGUAUCUUCCUGCAUGUUUGUAUAGUAGCUAACUUAUAGUAGCCCGACUGUGAAGGGAUCUGCUGGAUGUCCUGCCUAUGAAUAUGCUCCUUGUCCAACUCUAAAGAAGAGCACCUUUAAAGAAGAUCAGAAAUGAAACUGGAAAAUGAAAACACAGUUCGGAGUAUUUUCUCCCUGCCAAGUCUGAUAAAGUCAAAGGGGAACAGGAAAUCCUGGGAAGUCUAGCUGCAAAGAAUUUGUAGCUAUAAGGAGGUGUAGAUGUAUACCCUCACAUACGUAGGAGAUGUGAAAGAAGCUCUCUACUCUCUUCUCUGCUCUGGCUCAUCUAGGAGGCUCAUGUAGGAGUAUAGGAAACCCUGGUGUUUCCUAGUCCUUCAAUCAUAUGCACAACAAGGAAUUAAACUAAAGACAAUAAAAAUGAAUACAAAACAUCCCA
Molecule: long non-coding RNA, 1414 nt
Filed under: Numida meleagris (helmeted guineafowl)
Lineage: Eukaryota; Metazoa; Chordata; Aves; Galliformes; Numididae
Description: lncRNA (ENSNMEG00000018314.1)
Source: RNAcentral